CCCAAGCAAAACUUGAGGGGGCGGCAGGGGGGAGGGUUUGGGGACUCAGGCAGAGAGGUGCCUGGGAACAUUAAAUUAGAGCACUAUUAAAAAUGCAUGGAGCUGGAGUAUUUAAAAUUCCUCCAUGACAUAUAAUAUUAAUCCAUUUUAUGUAAAAUUCAUACCUGUAACUUAAUUUGGUCCAUUAAUGCACCAGAUCACGUAUUAGUAGACGUACCAUGUUUUAAAUAUGAUGCUGGAAAUGUCCAGAGUUCUGUACUUGGAGACAGAGCAUUAAAAUUAACCGGAUCGAGGACCCAUACGUGUUCGACAUGGGACACCAGCGGAAGAAACGCAGUGCCCGAUCUUGCGGAUGCGGCGAUCGCCCCCUCUGCUCCCAGCUCUCAGUGAGCGAAGUAGAACUGUUCACAUGGGCAAAGGACUGCAGGAAGGAGUAAAGGCUGCAGGAUCUGCCCCGAAGCUUGUAAGUCAAACCCACCAGAAGGGAAGAAAUCUAUAAUGGUGAUUAAUGAUUGCAUGUCCCCUCAAUGGUUAGUCACAACGGGUGAUAUAUAAAGGAUACAGUGGGAAGCUGUCAAGCCCGGGACUUGAAUGAGCAGUGAGACUGGAUCAUCUGAAGAGCAUAAUGAAGCACGCUUUGAUGCUCUUGCACCCUUUAAAAACAUACGUUUUGAUGCUCCGUCUUACGGAUACCCACGCUCUUAUUUUGCUUAUUUUGCCCCAUGUUACCAGUGCUACCAGUGGCUGUUGGGCUCUUGUAGACACAAAAACUAACUAUGUGCGUUUAUCUUUGUCUGCCUGAAGUCUAGAUUUAUACGCUACAUCAUGACAAUACGAUGGGAAGACAUAUUUCCAUUAGCUACAGGCUGGAUGAACCCGAUUCUGCUGCAGUCAUUGCUUUUAUUCUGUGAAACGUCACUCCUUGCAGUCUCUGAGUCUCACAAGGUGGAAAUUAUGUGGGCCCUAAAGUAUAUAUUAUGGUUACACUUUGUUUGCUUCCUAGACUCCUGAUAAUAUGGACAGAGUUGAUAUGCUUUUUUUUAAAAAAAAUGUAAAUUAUGGUAGGCAUGCAGACUAAAAUCUUGCUGAUCUGAUCUUAAUUAAAAUCUAUGUGAAACUAGA
Molecule: long non-coding RNA, 1122 nt
Organism: Dromaius novaehollandiae (emu)
Lineage: Eukaryota; Metazoa; Chordata; Aves; Casuariiformes; Dromaiidae
Exons: 2
Source: RefSeq, a predicted model, not a curated record